Molecule: ribosomal RNA, 253 nt
Filed under: uncultured bacterium
Lineage: Bacteria
Description: partial 16S ribosomal RNA
Rfam family: Bacterial small subunit ribosomal RNA
Source: RNAcentral
UACGUAGGUGGCGAGCGUUGUCCGGAAUUACUGGGCGUAAAGGGCGUGUAGGCGGUCAAACAAGUCAGUUGUGAAACCCCCAGGAUCAACUUGGGGAUUGCAGUUGAAACUGCAGGACUUGAGGGCAAGAGAGGAAAGUGGAAUUCCUAGUGUAGCGGUGAAAUGCGUAGAUAUUAGGAGGAACACCAGUGGCGAAGGCGGCUGUCUGGACUGUAACUGACGCUGAGGCGCGAAAGCGUGGGGAGCAAACAGG